GGGCCCGCACAAGCGGUGGAGUAUGUGGUUUAAUUCGAUGCAACGCGAAGAACCUUACCAGGGUUUGACAUCCUGCGAAUCUCUUGGAAACAGGAGAGUGCCUUCGGGAACGCAGUGACAGGUGGUGCAUGGCUGUCGUCAGCUCGUGUCGUGAGAUGUUGGGUUAAGUCCCGCAACGAGCGCAACCCACGUCUUUAGUUGCCAGCAUUUAGUUGGGCACUCUAGAGAGACUGCCGGUGAUAAACCGGAGGAAGGUGUGGAUGACGUCAAGUCAUCAUGCCCCUUACAUCCUGGGCUACACACGUACUACAAUGGGCAGUACAAAGGGCAGCAAACUCGCGAGGGUAAG
RNAcentral lists this ribosomal RNA (349 nucleotides) under uncultured bacterium. Its description in RNAcentral is "bacterial SSU rRNA". It matches the Rfam family "Bacterial small subunit ribosomal RNA", at positions 917 to 1267 of the family's 1533-position model. The record is from RNAcentral.